Molecule: ribosomal RNA, 253 nt
Filed under: uncultured prokaryote
Description: partial 16S ribosomal RNA
Rfam family: Bacterial small subunit ribosomal RNA
Source: RNAcentral
ACAGAGGGUGCGAGCGUUGUCCGGAAUCACUGGGCGUAAAGGGCGCGUAGGCGGCUCAGUAAGGUUGCGGUGAAAGCCCGGGGCUCAACCCCGGGUCGGCCGUGGCAACUGCUGGGCUGGAGCACUGUAGAGGCAGGCGGAAUUCCGGGUGUAGCGGUGGAAUGCGUAGAGAUCCGGAAGAACACCGGUGGCGAAGGCGGCCUGCUGGGCAGUUGCUGACACUGAGGCGCGACAGCGUGGGGAGCAAACAGGA